GACGAACGCUGGCGGCGUGCUUAACACAUGCAAGUCGAACGGUAAGGCCCUUCGGGGUACACGAGUGGCGAACGGGUGAGUAACACGUGGGUGAUCUGCCCUGCACUUCGGGAUAAGCCUGGGAAACUGGGUCUAAUACCGGAUAGGACCCUGGGAUGCAUGUCCUGGGGUGGAAAGCUUUUGCGGUGUGGGAUGGGCCCGCGGCCUAUCAGCUUGUUGGUGGGGUGAUGGCCUACCAAGGCGACGACGGGUAGCCGGCCGGAGAGGGUGACCGGCCACACUGGGACUGAGAUACGGCCCAGACUCGUACGGGGGGCAGCGGUGGGGAAUAUUGCACAAUGGGCGCAAGCCUGAUGCAGCGACGCCGCGUGAGGGAUGACGGCCUUCGGGUUGUAAACCUCUUUCAGCACCGACGAAGCGCAAGUGACGGUAGGUGCAGAAGAAGGACCGGCCAACUACGUGCCAGCCGCCGCAGUAA
This 478-nucleotide ribosomal RNA is filed under the name uncultured bacterium. RNAcentral's name for it is "partial 16S ribosomal RNA". It matches the Rfam family "Bacterial small subunit ribosomal RNA", at positions 28 to 523 of the family's 1533-position model. The record is from RNAcentral.